Long non-coding RNA from Cloeon dipterum, 495 nucleotides. RefSeq lists it as uncharacterized. The transcript is spliced from 3 exons. NCBI's taxonomy places the organism in Eukaryota, Metazoa, Arthropoda, Insecta, Ephemeroptera, Baetidae. The record is from RefSeq and is a predicted model, not a curated record.
GCGAACUUCUACAAAGGGAGAUACUUCCUUCGAGGUUUAGAAAUGCACCAUCCCCUGUUUAAUGAAAACUGCAAUAUCUUCGUUGAUAUUCUGCCUUUUGUCCAACCGAUCGCAAAAUCCGCGAAACACCUAUCUGUUUUGCCCGACAUACCACCAGUGAAACGAAUAAAACCAUUCAACAAUGACGCAGACAACCUGAGCUUCCCUAACUGUGGAACGAAAAUGACUGCGAGUCAAGAAAGAGACUUUUCUGAGGAUAAUGAAGUGACGCAAUAUAUUUUUUCCGGAUACCAAGCGCAGCAAAACGGACAUCCGUGGCAUGCGAAAGUUGUCUACACUACAGACCAAGACAUCUGUGGAGGUACCCUCAUCUCGAGAAGAGCAGUUCUAACAGCUGCACACUGCCUUUUAGGAAGAGAUGUGAGCAAUUUUGAAGUGUCGAUCGGUAUUUAUGAUAAUUCGAGGACGAUCGGUAAAGGAAUUCAAACGAAUAAG